CCCGAAACCCGGUGAUCUAGCCAUGGGCAGGUUGAAGGUUGGGUAACACUAACUGGAGGACCGAACCGACUAAUGUUGAAAAAUUAGCGGAUGACUUGUGGCUGGGGGUGAAAGGCCAAUCAAACCGGGAGAUAGCUGGUUCUCCCCGAAAGCUAUUUAGGUAGCGCCUCGUGAACUCAUCUUCGGGGGUAGAGCACUGUUUCGACUAGGGGGUCAUCCCGACUUACCAACUCGAUGCAAACUACGAAUACCGAAGAAUGUUAUCACGGGAGACACACGGCGGGUGCUAACGUUCGUCGUGAAGAGGGAAACAACCCAGACCGCCAGCUAAGGUCCCAAAGUCAUAGUUAAGUGGGAAACGAAGUGGGAAGGCUCAGACAGCCAGGAUGUUGGCUUAGAAGCAGCCAUCAUUUAAAGAAAGCGUAAUAGCUCACUGGUCGAGUCGGCCUGCGCGGAAGAUGUAACGGGGCUAAACUAUGCACCGAAGCUGCGGCAGCGAACGUAUCACUUAAACUGAUUAAGUGAUACUCAAAUGUAUCAAAACGAUUGACGGAGCGAAGCGACGUCAAUGCGUCCAACAAAGUCGAGGCGGAAACGUCAGGCAGUCAGUUUAAGGAUACGUUCGUUGGGUAGGGGAGCGUUCUGUAAGCCUGUGAAGGUGUGCUGUGAGGCAUGCUGGAGGUAUCAGAAGUGCGAAUGCUGACAUAAGUAACGAUAAUGCGGGUGAAAAACCCGCACGCCGGAAGACCAAGGGUUCCUGUCCAACGUUAAUCGGGGCAGGGUGAGUCGACCCCUAAGGCGAGGCAGAAAUGCGUAGUCGAUGGGAAACGGGUUAAUAUUCCCGUACUGGUGAUAAUUGCGAUGGGGGGACGGAGAAGGCUAGGCUAUCCGGGCGACGGUUGUCCCGGUUUAAGGAUGUAGGC
RNAcentral lists this ribosomal RNA (923 nucleotides) under Providencia rettgeri. Its description in RNAcentral is "partial 23S ribosomal RNA". It matches the Rfam family "Bacterial large subunit ribosomal RNA", at positions 714 to 1525 of the family's 2925-position model. The record is from RNAcentral. Lineage: Bacteria; Pseudomonadati; Pseudomonadota; Gammaproteobacteria; Enterobacterales; Morganellaceae.